GGUGGUGAUGAACCUAUCCCUUUGAAAUGAUGAUGAGGAUCUUGAGUUCUGAGCC
RNAcentral lists this small nucleolar RNA (55 nucleotides) under Nitrosopumilus piranensis. Its description in RNAcentral is "snoPyro_CD". Lineage: Archaea; Thermoproteati; Nitrososphaerota; Nitrososphaeria; Nitrosopumilales; Nitrosopumilaceae. The record is from RNAcentral.